Molecule: ribosomal RNA, 332 nt
Filed under: uncultured eukaryote
Lineage: Eukaryota
Description: partial 18S ribosomal RNA
Rfam family: Eukaryotic small subunit ribosomal RNA
Source: RNAcentral
UCCUUAGAUGUUCUGGGCUGCACACGUGCUACACUGGCAGGUUCAGCGAGCUUCAUGCCCUGAUCUGAAAUGAAUGGGAAAUCUUUUCAAAACCUGCCGUGCUUGGGAUAGAUGUUUGCAAUUAUUCAUCUUCAACGAGGAUUGCCUUGUAAGCGCACGUCAUCAGCGUGCAUUGAAUACGACCCUGUAUUCUGUACACACCGCCCGUCGCUCCUACCGAUUGAAGUUUUCGGUGAGUUGACAGGAGGAUUUUUUUGAAACUGGUUCGCCAGUGGAUUUUAGAUCCAAAUGCCAACGAAUCGAUGGCUUUAGAGGAAGGAGAAGUCGUAACA